RNAcentral lists this ribosomal RNA (325 nucleotides) under uncultured eukaryote. RNAcentral describes it as "partial 18S ribosomal RNA". It matches the Rfam family "Eukaryotic small subunit ribosomal RNA", at positions 1470 to 1796 of the family's 1831-position model. The record is from RNAcentral.
CCCUUAGAUGUUCUGGGCCGCACGCGCGCUACACUGAUGCAUUCAACGAGCCUAUCCUUGACCGACAGGUCCGGGUAAUCUUUGAAUCUGCAUCGUGACGGGGAUAGAUUAUUGCAAUUAUUAAUCUUCAACGAGGAAUGCCUAGUAGGCGCAAGUCAUCAGCUUGCGUCGAUUACGUCCCUGCCCUUUGUACACACCGCCCGUCGCUCCUACCGAUUGGGUGUGCUGGUGAAAUGUUCGGAUCGGCCGUUUGUCGCGGUUUCCGCGGCUCGUGGCUGAGAAGUUCAUUAAACCCUCCCACCGAGAGGAAGGAGAAGUCGUAACA